UUUUUUUACUUUAUUUUACAGCCACAUGUUUUUAACUUUGAGCCUAAGCAAUUCUAGAUUAUUCCGGAUAUUCAAUUUUAUAUUACCUCCUCCAGUUAUAAAGAUGUUUAUAGGAUAUGCUUCACCAUUAAUUUUAUCAAUCCUAUAUGUGCAAUCUGCAAAAGCUAAUAAGAUGUUUCUAUGAUGUUUCGAGCUAGCAAAUUGAUUGCGGGCUUCCCAGUUUCACAGGUGAGGACACCGACAAUCAAUUUGCGAGCUAUAUUUAUGGAGCUUCUAUCUGCUUAUAAAAUCUCAACUUUCAUUGAUCAUCAACUUAGAGAAAGGUGAUGAAAUUUCAACCACACUUGGCAAAGCAAUCAAGGAAUGCAAAAUCUUGACUACACCCAACACCAUAUAUACUCGCUAGCUGAUCGUGCAGUAAUUAAAAUUCUGUCUCAUAUAAAAUUUGGAACAACUAUAUUUAUGGGCCAAAUUUUCCUGAUUUUCUCUGUGCAGGAGAUGCAAUCAAUAUUACGAUUGCAUAGCCUGAUUUGGUACUAGUUUGCUUACUGGGAUUCAACAAAGAGGGUUUUUUUUUUUUUUUUUUUUUUUUUUUUUUUUCUCCUUUUUCGGGGGCUUCUGUCAUUUUUCCGUAAAAUAUACAUAAGUAAGCAGACUCCACCAAAUCCUUGAGGUUAAUUACUAGCUAAUUACAAUGAUGUAUGAACUCUCCAAGUGCUUUUCUAUACAUACAAUGCAAAUAGGAGAGGCAAGAAGAAUAAUUAAAGAAGAUAAUAUUAGAUUUGGAGUUAAUAAUUGAGACUUUAAAAAAAUUUAUAAGUAAAGCCAUAUCAUAGGACUGUAAAAUAUAAAUUUCUAAUAGACUCGCAUGCCCUGAAGACUGCAGUGAGAGAGUGCAAUUAACCAUGCGACGACCACUUUAUCAUUUCUCUAAGAAUUCCUCAAUUGAAAAGAUCUUUUGCUUUUCACCCAAAAUAAAAUAAAAAAAUAAAAAAAAUUGUGUUUUGCAUCCGUAUUUAUCAACCAUAUAUACUCAUGCUACGACAAUAAGACACAAUUUUUAAAUUAAAAGAACCAAAAAUAUAAUAUAAAAAAAAAAAAAAAAAAGAAAGGAAAAGAGAGAAAAUUAUUCAUUUUGACUAAAUAGCCUAGAGGGGAUCCCAGCAUAUCAAACCCCAACGGUAUAAAUUAUAUAUAAAACCAACACGCCCCUGUUUCAAGCUUCACAUAGAUAAAAGAAUAAUAAUAAACAAAAUAACUCUUUUGCCCUACACACAUCUCCUAAUUAUAGUUGAAUUUGACAAGUGGUACAGAAUACAGAUAAAGAACAAGUCCACUUGAAAAUUUUUAAUUAUGUAUUCAUAUAUGUGUAUACAUAUGUAUAUAUUGCUUCAUUAUAUACAUAAAAGAUAAAAUUCAAUGAUCAUUAAUGAUGGAAUUUUACUUUAAGGUAAAAUAGAUCAUAUUUUAAACUGUGUGUUAAACCAUAGGCAGUCAAUACUUUAAAAUUCCAAUCUGGGGCCAUAUGGGAUGCCUUAGAUAUUUGAAUAUAACCUUGAUGCAUAAAAUAAAGAGGCUCAUUAAAGGUCAUAUGGGCCUCAAUAAACAAAUCCCACACAACCAGCAUGUUGCGUUGAGAAAAGGUUAAAAAAUAGGCUUCGUAUUUAUAUAUAUAUAUAUAUAUAUGUUACUUAUUGCCGAUGAGCCGUGCCUCCAAAUUAAUUUAAAAAGGACAGGGGCCCAGGGUGUGAAAUGAAAUGUUAAAUAAAGCUGCAUGGGCAUAGCCGCAUUGGUCUUGGAUGGAAUAUCAUUUGAGUAUUGUUCAUAUUUCUUUUCAAAACUAGAAAAAGAAAAGUAGCGUUCACAUUUCCUUAGUCUAAUUAAUUUAGUAGUUAUAUAACCUAUAUAUAUUUAUUUGUAUAUGCCUUUUUUUUGUCAUAUAUAUAUAUAUAUGCUUAAGAAUAUUGUUAAUUAGAUAAUCAAAGAAAAAAUAAAGAAAAGAAUAUUGUAAAUUAAUAAUUAGAGAAUGAAUUUGUUUAAAAAAAGAAAAAAAGAAAAGGAAAUCAAUUUCAGUGAGCUCCUCAAAAUUUGGAUGUUAAUUAUAUAUAUUUCCCAAAUUUUGGGGAUUUCCACCUC
Long non-coding RNA from Ziziphus jujuba (common jujube), 2136 nucleotides. RefSeq lists it as uncharacterized. Lineage: Eukaryota; Viridiplantae; Streptophyta; Magnoliopsida; Rosales; Rhamnaceae. The record is from RefSeq and is a predicted model, not a curated record. The transcript has 3 exons.